UCCCUCCAUGAACGAAUAGUGAUUGAUACUC
This 31-nucleotide non-coding RNA is filed under the name Homo sapiens (human). The record is from RNAcentral. Lineage: Eukaryota; Metazoa; Chordata; Mammalia; Primates; Hominidae.